This 256-nucleotide ribosomal RNA is filed under the name uncultured bacterium. RNAcentral describes it as "partial 16S ribosomal RNA". It matches the Rfam family "Bacterial small subunit ribosomal RNA", at positions 524 to 777 of the family's 1533-position model. The record is from RNAcentral.
UACGAAGGGUGCAAGCGUUACUCGGAAUUACUGGGCGUAAAGCGUGCGUGAGCGGUUUGUUAAGUCCGUUGUGAAAGCCCUGGGCUCAACCUGGGAAUUGCAGUGGAUACUGGCGAGCUAGAGUGCGGUAGAGGAUGGUGGAAUUCCCGGUGUAGCGGUGAAAUGCGUAGAGAUCGGGAGGAACACCCGUGGCGAAGGCGGCCAUCUGGACCAGCACUGACGCUGAGGCACGAAAAGCGUGGGGGAGCAAACAGGG